AAUGGGUCAGCGACUUAUAUUCUGUAGCAAGGUUAACCGAAUAGGGGAGCCGAAGGGAAACCGAGUCUUAACUGGGCGUUAAGUUGCAGGGUAUAGACCCGAAACCCGGUGAUCUAGCCAUGGGCAGGUUGAAGGUUGGGUAACACUAACUGGAGGACCGAACCGACUAAUGUUGAAAAAUUAGCGGAUGACUUGUGGCUGGGGGUGAAAGGCCAAUCAAACCGGGAGAUAGCUGGUUCUCCCCGAAAGCUAUUUAGGUAGCGCCUCGUGAAUUCAUCUCCGGGGGUAGAGCACUGUUUCGGCAAGGGGGUCAUCCCGACUUACCAACCCGAUGCAAACUGCGAAUACCGGAGAAUGUUAUCACGGGAGACACACGGCGGGUGCUAACGUCCGUCGUGAAGAGGGAAACAACCCAGACCGCCAGCUAAGGUCCCAAAGUCAUGGUUAAGUGGGAAACGAUGUGGGAAGGCCCAGACAGCCAGGAUGUUGGCUUAGAAGCAGCCAUCAUUUAAAGAAAGCGUAAUAGCUCACUGGUCGAGUCGGCCUGCGCGGAAGAUGUAACGGGGCUAAACCAUGCACCGAAGCUGCGGCAGCGACACUGUGUGUUGUUGGGUAGGGGAGCGUUCUGUAAGCCUGUGAAGGUGUGCUGUGAGGCAUGCUGGAGGUAUCAGAAGUGCGAAUGCUGACAUAAGUAACGAUAAAGCGGGUGAAAAGCCCGCUCGCCGGAAGACCAAGGGUUCCUGUCCAACGUUAAUCGGGGCAGGGUGAGUCGACCCCUAAGGCGAGGCCGAAAGGCGUAGUCGAUGGGAAACAGGUUAAUAUUCCUGUACUUGGUGUUACUGCGAAGGGGGGACGGAGAAGGCUAUGUUGGCCGGGCGACGGUUGUCCCGGUUUAAGCGUGUAGGCUGGUUUUCCAGGCAAAUCCGGAAAAUCAAGGCUGAGGCGUGAUGACGAGGCACUACGGUGCUGAAGCAACAAAUGCCCUGCUUCCAGGAAAAGCCUCUAAGCAUCAGGUAACAUCAAAUCGUACCCCAAACCGACACAGG
RNAcentral lists this ribosomal RNA (1046 nucleotides) under Escherichia coli. RNAcentral's name for it is "partial 23S ribosomal RNA". It matches the Rfam family "Bacterial large subunit ribosomal RNA", at positions 614 to 1663 of the family's 2925-position model. The record is from RNAcentral. Lineage: Bacteria; Pseudomonadati; Pseudomonadota; Gammaproteobacteria; Enterobacterales; Enterobacteriaceae.